RNAcentral lists this ribosomal RNA (402 nucleotides) under uncultured Eubacteriales bacterium. Its description in RNAcentral is "uncultured Clostridiales bacterium partial 16S ribosomal RNA". It matches the Rfam family "Bacterial small subunit ribosomal RNA", at positions 355 to 774 of the family's 1533-position model. Lineage: Bacteria; Bacillati; Bacillota; Clostridia; Eubacteriales. The record is from RNAcentral.
UGGGGGAUAUUAGGCAAUGGGGGCAACCCUGACCUAGCGACGCCGCGUGAGGGAAGAAGGUUUUCGGAUUGUAAACCUCUGUCUUCGGGGAAGAUAAUGACGGUACCCGAGGAGGAAGCCACGGCUAACUACGUGCCAGCAGCCGCGGUAAUACGUAGGUGGCAAGCGUUAUCCGGAUUUAUUGGGUGUAAAGGGUGCGUAGGCGGGAAAAUAAGUUGAAUGUGAAAUACCGAGGCUCAACCUCGGGGCUGCGUUCAAAACUGUUUUUCUUGAGUGCAGUAGAGGCAAGUGGAAUUCCCAGUGUAGCGGUAAUAUGCGUAGAUAUUGGGAGGAACACCAGUGGCGAAGGCGACUUGCUGGGCUGUAACUGACGCUGAGGCACGAAAGUGUGGGGAGCAAACA